CAUGAAUGGCACAUGAUGAUAAGCAGCGGUGGGAUGUAAAUAAGUACAUUUACUUUCGUACCAUUUUGAGCUUAGGACCAGUUUCACAUCAUGGAGAUGGUUUUAAAGGAUGUUAAACGAUUGCUGUAGAUAGUGAAUAGAAUCUGCGCAUGGAUAAAGGACAGUGUCAUCUGCGUAAAGAUGGAAGUAAUAAUUGUUCAAUAAACAGGUGAACAAAAUGUCCUGCAGGCUCAAAUCAUCCAGCGUCUUCCAUGUCCUCUGCAGUGGAGCGAUCACUGACGCACGGGCCAAGAAAAACAGAAAGGCCCACUCCCCACUGCUGCUUCAGAUGUGCUAAUCCAUGCUCUUCAUCACUUCUGCAAACAGAAUUCCACCUUUUUAUAUGGGACACGCAGUUUGUUUUGCUUUGGUCCAGUCUCAGAAGGGACAGACAUGAGGCCCAGAGAUGGAGAAAUGCUAGCUCAGCACUGGUCAUGACAUCAGACGAGUCUAACGGGCUACAAAAACAUGAUUUUUUUCUUUAGUUUAUUGGAUCUGUUUGGAAAUACAAACCAGUAACAGCAACUUGUGUUUAGGUCUAAGGCCAAGAUGGUUAACAGUUUAAGUUCUCAGGUGUACAACAAC
Long non-coding RNA from Centropristis striata (black sea bass), 624 nucleotides. RefSeq lists it as uncharacterized. The record is from RefSeq and is a predicted model, not a curated record. The transcript has 3 exons. Lineage: Eukaryota; Metazoa; Chordata; Actinopteri; Perciformes; Serranidae.